Molecule: ribosomal RNA, 73 nt
Filed under: Bacillus sp. N13C7
Lineage: Bacteria; Bacillati; Bacillota; Bacilli; Caryophanales; Bacillaceae
Description: partial 16S ribosomal RNA
Rfam family: Bacterial small subunit ribosomal RNA
Source: RNAcentral
UUAUCGGAGAGUUUGAUCCUGGCUCAGGACGAACGCUGGCGGCGUGCCUAAUACAUGCAAGUCGAGUGGACAG